This 58-nucleotide transfer RNA is filed under the name Bunostomum phlebotomum (cattle hookworm). Its description in RNAcentral is "tRNA-Leu". The record is from RNAcentral. Lineage: Eukaryota; Metazoa; Nematoda; Chromadorea; Rhabditida; Ancylostomatidae.
ACAUAAUUAGUAUAUUAAAUAUAUUGGAUUUAGAUUUCAAAGAAAUUAUUAUUAUGUU